AGGAAUAUUGGUCAAUGGGCGAGAGCCUGAACCAGCCAAGUAGCGUGCAGGAUGACGGCCCUAUGGGUUGUAAACUGCUUUUAUAAGGGAAUAAAGUGAGCCUCGUGAGGCUUUUUGCAUGUACCUUAUGAAUAAGGACCGGCUAAUUCCGUGCCAGCAGCCGCGGUAAUACGGAAGGUCCGGGCGUUAUCCGGAUUUAUUGGGUUUAAAGGGAGCGUAGGCCGGAGAUUAAGCGUGUUGUGAAAUGUAGGCGCUCAACGUCUGCACUGCAGCGCGAACUGGUUUCCUUGAGUACGCACAAAGUGGGCGGAAUUCGUGGUGUAGCGGUGAAAUGCUUAGAUAUCACGAAGAACUCCGAUUGCGAAGGCAGCUCACUGGAGCGCAACUGACGCUGAAGCUCGAAAGUGCGGGUAUCGAACAGGAUUAGAUACCCUGGUAGUCCGCACGGUAAACGAUGGAUGCCCGCUGUUGGUCUGAACAGGUCAGCGGCCAAGCGAAAGCAUUAAGCAUCCCACCUGGGGAGUACGCCGGCAACGGUGAAACUCAAAGGAAUUGACGGGGGCCCGCACAAGCGGAGGAACAUGUGGUUUAAUUCGAUGAUACGCGAGGAACCUUACCCGGGCUUGAAUUGCAGAGGAAGGAUUUGGAGACAAUGACGCCCUUCGGGGCCUCUGUGAAGGUGCUGCAUGGUUGUCGUCAGCUCGUGCCGUGAGGUGUCGGCUUAAGUGCCAUAACGAGCGCAACCCCUCUCCUUAGUUGCCAUCAGGUUAAGCUGGGCACUCUGGGGACACUGCCACCGUAAGGUGUGAGGAAGAUGGGGAUGACGUCAAAUCAGCACGGCCCUUACGUCCGGGGCUACACACGUGUUACAAUGGCAGGUACAGAGAGACGGUCCCUUGCAAAAUGGAUCAAAUCCUUAAAGCCUGUCUCAGUUCGGACUGGGGUCUGCAACCCGACCCCACGAAGCUGGAUUCGCUAGUAAUCGCGCAUCAGCCAUGGCGCGGUGAAUACGUUCCCG
RNAcentral lists this ribosomal RNA (1018 nucleotides) under uncultured bacterium. Its description in RNAcentral is "bacterial SSU rRNA". It matches the Rfam family "Bacterial small subunit ribosomal RNA", at positions 357 to 1376 of the family's 1533-position model. The record is from RNAcentral.